RNAcentral lists this small nuclear RNA (107 nucleotides) under Catagonus wagneri (Chacoan peccary). The record is from RNAcentral. Lineage: Eukaryota; Metazoa; Chordata; Mammalia; Artiodactyla; Tayassuidae.
GUGCUCGCUUCGGCAGCACAUAUACUAAAAUUGGAAUGAUACACAGAAGAUUAGCAUGGCCCUUGUGCAAGGAUGAGAUGCAAAUUCAUGAAACGUUCCAUAUUUAA